This 77-nucleotide transfer RNA is filed under the name Candidatus Lambdaproteobacteria bacterium RIFOXYC1_FULL_56_13. RNAcentral's name for it is "tRNA-Arg". It matches the Rfam family "tRNA". Rfam says of the family: Transfer RNA (tRNA) molecules are approximately 80 nucleotides in length. The record is from RNAcentral. RNAcentral also lists the same sequence under 2 other names. Lineage: Bacteria; Pseudomonadati; Pseudomonadota; Candidatus Lambdaproteobacteria.
GCACCUGUAGCUCAGUUGGAUAGAGCGUCGGCUUGCGGAGCCAAAGGCCGGGGGUUCGAAUCCCUCCAGGUGCACCA